Molecule: long non-coding RNA, 6065 nt
Filed under: Daucus carota (carrot)
Lineage: Eukaryota; Viridiplantae; Streptophyta; Magnoliopsida; Apiales; Apiaceae
Description: long non-coding RNA (DCAR_LNC004080)
Source: RNAcentral
CGUUUGCAAAAAUCCACUAUUUAAAUCAUAUUAAUUCGAAAUUUAAAACUUCAAUUACUCCCUACCUGUGAAUCUCAGGUUGUUUUUGAUUGCAGAUAUAGAUUCUACUCUUCGAUAUCUUCGAUUUGACUAUUCGCACGCUUGAUUCUGACUCCAAUAACGCCUUCAAAUCCACGUUUGAUUAUGAAGAACACGAAGAACACCGCUCGGUUUCUCUCGAUUAUCGUGCGGAGAAACUGGUGAAAUGAUUUUACGGGUGAAAAUAAGCUCUAGAAAGGUAUAUUUAUAUUUACAAAUAAUUGGUACCCCUUUGGAUCGUUUAUGGCAUGAAAAUACGUAUUUAAUAGCUUUAUAUUAAGAAAGUGGGGUCCAAUCGGUACUAGUUUUCAAGAUAAUCAUCAAAACGGGGCUUUUUAACUCAAUUAUUGGUUUGCGGGUCCCAUGGCAAUUAUGACAAGAUAAGGAUGAAGAAAAUAUCUCGUUUCACGUUUAUCGAGACAAACUGGAUAAUUAUCGAAUACCGAAAAGCUCCGCCGGACCGGCUCCGGAACAAACCUGUGACAGUCCGAGAAUCCGGGGGUCUGGAUUCUGACGUCACCACAUAAAACCCAUAUUUAAACACUUUUGGAAACCUGUAUUUUUUUUUUUUUUUUAUUUUUAUUUUUUUUUUNNNNNNNNNNNNNNNNNNNNNNNNNNNNNNNNNNNNNNNNNNNNNNAGUAUAAUCCAUAUUAAUCCACAGAACAAGUAUAAUCAUAUAAAACUAUUCACAUAAUCAAUUCACUUUUCAAUUAAAGCCAACAACAAUAUUUAGACGAAUAGAUUUAUAAUAAUCAAAUCUAAAUUUAAUAAUAUGGGAUAUUACAUUCUACCCCCCUUAUAAGGAUUCCGCCCUCGGAAUCCGCGAAGAAAAUUAAAAUGUAUCAUUUGUAAAAUCAUUGUACACGCUUCAUAAUAUCAGAUGCUCAUCUGCCCUUAAUCAACCUUGGCAUACCUUCAAAGUUAAAGAAAUAGGAGAAUCAAAGCCUUCACAAUUGCAAACUUCAUUUCCCAAGAAUCAAUCUUUGGGAAUUUCGGAGGAACAAGAUAUUUUCAAAAUAGGUCACAUUGGAAUACAAGAGUGACUGGGAGAUCAAUACGAUCAAAUGAACUUAAUGUUGCGUGUCCAUAUUAGACACUACUAAAGGUUGUUAACCUUCUUGUAAUCACAACACACACAAGUGAUGGCGUCCAUCCAACUCCUAUCACACAGACAGGUAUACCUUGUGUCCCCUAUAAUUAGGGUUGUUCAUCCCAAUCAGAUUGAAGAAAUAUCAAGGGAGAUUUAUGUCAAAGAUUUGCUUUUGAAUCGUUACUUCACAANNNNNNNNNNNNNNNNNNNNNNNNNNNNNNNNNNNNNNNNNNNNNNNNNNNNNNNNNNNNNNNNNNNNNNNNNNNNNNNNNNNNNNNNNNNNNNNNNNNNNNNNNNNNNNNNNNNNNNNNNNNNNNNNNNNNNNAUCACACAUCUUUAAAACUUUUGUAGAAAAGAUAUCAUGAUAAUAUCUCACUGAUGAGAAAACAAUCAAAAGAACCUUUAGUUGAAGAGAGGUAUUGCCAAGGUCUUCUCAAAUUCCCACUCUACUUUACGAAAUCGUUAUUCGAUUUAUGUCAUCCUUUCAACGUUCUCGAUAAUCAAUCGAUUUGACUCGUAAUAGCCUCGUAAGAUGUCAUCGUAGACGUUAUCGUCCGUAAUAACUCUGGCCCAUGUAGUUUACAUUCUUCUACUUUAUCCCAGUUGCCUUUGAAAUCCAUAGCACAAACACGUAACGUAUCUUCGAUUGUCUGGAUCAUCAACCUGUGGGUUAUGGACCCACCUUGAUGCCAUUUGAAAUCCCGAUUAGCUCGAAGCGUUGUCGUCGAGAACUAACGUUCUAACUUAUUCGUAGACAUCAUCUCUAAUAACUGGACUCAAUUCCACGUACUCUCUAUCAUUCACUUCUCACCUAUCAACCUCUAUCUACCAAUCUCUCCUUCUAAUCCAAUACAACUCAUACUCUACACUUACUCUUCAUAUCUUCACUCAAAACCAUAUACCUCUUCCAAAUAUCUGACAUGGUCAACAUACUAUGAACCAUGCAUCUUUAUCAUUUUCAAAUCAAUACACUAGACCAUUCUCAACUAUGGAGUAUAGUCAGAAUACUCUGAAUUCUGCAUUUUCACCAUUCUCAACUCAAUCAUUCACUAUCAAACUCUUCUAUCUAGGUCUAAUCUUGACCUUUCUCACAAUUCACCAUCUCAAUUAAUCAACAUACUAGAAAUCAUAUGUCUAAACUUAAGAAUCCUAAUCUCUCUAAACCUAUACACUCAACUUAGUCGUCUAACUAGACUCUAUUCUUCCUUCACAUCUCUAGACUAUUCCCAGAUAGUCUCACAAUACCUCAAAUGAGGUCACACAACAUUCCUCAUCAUUAGAACUUAAAACUAUAAUCUAUAUUCUGAUUUCAAUAACUUGUAACCUGUUGCUCUGAUACCAACUGUGACGGUCCAGGAAUCCGGGGGUCUGGAUUCUGACGUCACCACAUAAAAACCUUUUUAAAACCCUUUCGAAAACCUGUAAAAUUUUUUUUUUUUUUAUUUUAUUUUUAGAUAAAAAAAUCAGAGAAUUUAAAACCUGAAAACAUUUAAUAAAAGAUUUGAAUGAGAACAUAAAUCGAAUGAUUUCAAAACCUGAAUUUCAAACUUGAAAGCCAUAAUAGGAGAAUUUCAAGAGAACAUUUAAACUUUAAUAAAUGAUUCGAAAGAGAACAUUUAAACCCCCUAAAAGCAACAGGAUCGCAUCCAGGUUACAGUAUUGAAAUUAGAAUCUACCACUAUUAUUACACAACAUCUCUUACCAAAUCAGAUCAUCUUCGAUAAGAAGAAUCACUGUCAACUAUUCCAGCUUGCACCAACCUCAUCAACUUUCCUGAACACUCCUCGACCACUGGAUCCUCAACUCUGUCUCCUCGCCUAGCAUUAGCCUUAUUCACAAUCUCAAUCAAUCAUCUCAUCUUUAAGCCUUUCUGAAAUGGUUAGAAAGGAAUAGCAAGGGUGAGCAACAAUGCUCAGCAAGUAAUAAUAAACAAUGAUAGUUCUGAAAUGAUAUAACAGAAGUUCACGAGUUCAAGAUAUAAGAGGAUUCAACCUGAGUUCAUGAGUUCAUGGUAUUGUAUAGAAUGAUUUACAAUACCUUGCAGCAUUUAAACUGAGAAAUUCAAUCUUUCCAAAGAAUUAUUGAAUUGGACUAUCACAUUUUAAUUAAAACCAAGGUUAGGCAGCUGAUCAGUUCCGCACUAACCCCGAGCAGGCCCCGCCAUGCUCUAUCACUGGAUCCAAGGCACUCAUUGGCCUAACAUGACCACGAAUCUGGUCCACAGGUUUAUAUAAAAACAAUAAUCCAAUUCUCUAAUUCAAUUCAAGAAGCCAAUGUAAAUUAACAGAACAUCAUCAUAAAUAUCAUCAACAACAGAAUAAUUCCAAUUCAAACUUUGAUAAUAAUCUAUUCAUAAAUCAUGAUCCAUCAUUUCAUAAAUCACAGUUCAGGAAAUCCUCAACUAUUCAGUAUCCUCCAUUAUCGGCUAAGCAACUGAAUUUAGCCUGCUAAACCAGCAUGACAAUGGUGGGUUGAAUAAUCAAGAAGAUCCCAAUUCAUUCAAAGCUCUAACUAUCACUGAGCAACACAUGCUUCAAUGACAAUCUGAACUUCGAAUUAAUUUGUAGAACGGACAUUCUUUAGAAACUUGAAGAUUAGAAAGAAUGGGUCAGAAUACUCGCACUUUCGAACAUUGAAAAGAAAGGUAUGAAUACUUGAAACAUAUACCAAAGGAAUGGAUCAGAAUAUUUGCAAUAUAUCCAAGAGAAAGGUUUAGGAUACUUGCCUUAAAUCUGACUCCAGUCUCACAGCUCAUUCUCAUCUUUCCACUUUCACAAUCUAUGCAUCUCAUAAUCUCUAGACCAUCUCUGGCAAUAUAUCCAAANCAUACCUCACAAAACAAUAUACUUUUCCAAAUAUCUGACAUGGUCAACAUACUAUGAACCAUGCAUUUAUAUCAUCCUCAAAUCAAUACAAUAAUCCAAUUUCAAAUAUGCAGUAUAGUCAGAAUACUCUGAACUCUGCAUUUUCACCAUUCUCAACUCAAUCAUUCACUAUCAAACUCUUCUAUAUAGGUCUAAUACUGACCUUUCUCACAAUUCAUUAUCUCAAUUAUUCAACAUACUAAAAAUCAUAUGUCUAACUUAGGAAUCAAAAUCUCUCUAAACUUAUGCACUCAACUUAAUCAUCUAACUAGAUUCUAUUUCUCUAUCACAUCUCUAGACUAUUUCUAAAUAGUCUCACAAUACCUCUAUACGAGGUCACACAACAUUCUUCUCUAGAAAACCUAUAACUAUGAUCUAUAUUCUAAUUUCAAAUACUUAUAACCUGUGGCUCUGAUACCAACUGUGACGGUCCGAGAAUCCGGGGGCCUGGAUUCUGACGUCACCACAUAAAAACCUUUUUAAAACACUUUCGAAAACCUGUAAAUUUUUUUUUUUUUUCAAAAGAUAAUAAAAUCAAAGAAUUUAAAACCUGAAAACAUUUAAUAAAAGAUUUGAAUGAGAACAUAAAUCGAAUGAUUUCAAAACCUGAAUUUCAAACUUGAAAGCCAUAAUAGGAGAAUUUCAAGAGAACAUUUAAACUUUAAUAAAUGAUUCGAAAGAGAACAUUUAAACCCCCUAAAAGCAACAGGAUCGCAUCCAGGUUACAGUAUUGAAAUUAGAAUCUACCACUAUUAUUACACAACAUCUCUUACCAAAUCAGAUCAUCUUCGAUAAGAAGAAUCACUGUCAACUAUUCCAGCUUGCACCAACCUCAUCAACUUUCCUGAACACUCCUCGACCACUGGAUCCUCAACUCUGUCUCCUCGCCUAGCAUUAGCCUUAUUCACAAUCUCAAUCAAUCAUCUCAUCUUUAAGCCUUUCUGAAAUGGUUAGAAAGGAAUAGCAAGGGUGAGCAACAAUGCUCAGCAAGUAAUAAUAAACAAUGAUAGUUCUGAAAUGAUAUAACAGAAGUUCACGAGUUCAAGAUAUAAGAGGAUUCAACCUGAGUUCAUGAGUUCAUGGUAUUGUAUAGAAUGAUUUACAAUACCUUGCAGCAUUUAAACUGAGAAAUUCAAUCUUUCCAAAGAAUUAUUGAAUUGGACUAUCACAUUUUAAUUAAAACCAAGGUUAGGCAGCUGAUCAGUUCCGCACUAACCCCGAGCAGGCCCCGCCAUGCUCUAUCACUGGAUCCAAGGCACUCAUUGGCCUAACAUGACCACGAAUCUGGUCCACAGGUUUAUAUAAAAACAAUAAUCCAAUUCUCUAAUUCAAUUCAAGAAGCCAAUGUAAAUUAACAGAACAUCAUCAUAAAUAUCAUCAACAACAGAAUAAUUCCAAUUCAAACUUUGAUAAUAAUCUAUUCAUAAAUCAUGAUCCAUCAUUUCAUAAAUCACAGUUCAGGAAAUCCUCAACUAUUCAGUAUCCUCCAUUAUCGGCUAAGCAACUGAAUUUAGCCUGCUAAACCAGCAUGACAAUGGUGGGUUGAAUAAUCAAGAAGAUCCCAAUUCAUUCAAAGCUCUAACUAUCACUGAGCAACACAUGCUUCAAUGACAAUCUGAACUUCGAAUUAAUUUGUAAAACGGAAAUUCUUUAGAAACUUGAAGAUUAGAAAGAAUGGGUCAGAAUACUCGCACUUUCGAACAUUGAAAAGAAAGGUAUGAAUACUUGAAACAUAUACCAAAGGAAUGGAUCAGAAUAUUUGCAAUAUAUCCAAAAGAAGGGUUUAGGAUACUUGCCUUAAAUCUGACUCCCGUCUCACAGCUCAUUCUCAUCUUUCCACUUUCACAAUCUAUGCAUCUCAUAAUCUCUAGACCAUCUCUAGCUAUACUCUAUUCGCCACAUCGCUUCGCUUACUCGAUUCAUCCCUUAUUCGCUUUGCAAUACCAUUCUGACUUUCUGACGUCUUCGAACGUACACGUCUCCUCCAAAUCCUUUACGAAAAUAAGAUCAUACUAUAGUCACUAAACAAUAU